GGCCCCAUCGUCUAGCGGUUAGGACAUCACUCUUUCAAGGUGGAGACACGGGUUCGAGUCCCGUUGGGGCCA
RNAcentral lists this transfer RNA (72 nucleotides) under Caldifarciminota bacterium SM23_60. RNAcentral's name for it is "tRNA-Glu". It matches the Rfam family "tRNA". From Rfam's summary of the family: Transfer RNA (tRNA) molecules are approximately 80 nucleotides in length. Their secondary structure includes four short double-helical elements and three loops (D, anti-codon, and T loops). RNAcentral also lists the same sequence under 1 other name. Lineage: Bacteria; Pseudomonadati; Caldifarciminota. The record is from RNAcentral.